GUGGGGAAUCUUGCGCAAUGGGCGAAAGCCUGACGCAGCCAUGCCGCGUGAAUGAUGAAGGUCUUAGGAUUGUAAAAUUCUUUCACCGGGGACGAUAAUGACGGUACCCGGAGAAGAAGCCCCGGCUAACUUCGUGCCAGCAGCCGCGGUAAUACGAAGGGGGCUAGCGUUGCUCGGAAUUACUGGGCGUAAAGGGCGCGUAGGCGGACAGUUUAGUCAGAGGUGAAAGCCCAGGGCUCAACCUUGGAAUUGCCUUUGAUACUGGCUGUCUUGAGUACGGGAGAGGUGAGUGGAACUCCGAGUGUAGAGGUGAAAUUCGUAGAUAUUCGGAGGAACACCAGUGGCGAAGGCGGCUCACUGGCUCGAUACUGACGCUGAGGUGCGAAAGCGUGGGGAGCAAACAGGAUUAGAAACCCUUGUAGUCC
This 425-nucleotide ribosomal RNA is filed under the name uncultured bacterium. RNAcentral's name for it is "partial 16S ribosomal RNA". It matches the Rfam family "Bacterial small subunit ribosomal RNA", at positions 354 to 796 of the family's 1533-position model. The record is from RNAcentral.